Molecule: ribosomal RNA, 599 nt
Filed under: Kwoniella heveanensis
Lineage: Eukaryota; Fungi; Basidiomycota; Tremellomycetes; Tremellales; Cryptococcaceae
Description: partial large subunit ribosomal RNA
Rfam family: Eukaryotic large subunit ribosomal RNA
Source: RNAcentral
AAACUAACAAGGAUUCCCCUAGUAACGGCGAGUGAACCGGGAAGAGCUCAAAUUUGAAAUCUGGCGUCCUUCGGGCGUCCGAGUUGUAAUCUAUAGAAACGUUUUCCGUGCCGGACCGUGUCCAAGUCCCUUGGAACAGGGUAUCAGAGAGGGUGACAAUCCCGUACUUGACACGACGACCGGUGCUCUGUGAUACGUUCUCUACGAGUCGAGUUGUUUGGGAAUGCAGCUCAAAAUGGGUGGUAAACUCCAUCUAAAGCUAAAUAUUGGUGGGAGACCGAUAGCGAACAAGUACCGUGAGGGAAAGAUGAAAAGCACUUUGGAAAGAGAGUUAAACAGUAUGUGAAAUUGUUGAAAGGGAAACGAUUGAAGUCAGUCGUGACCGUUGGGUUCAGCCGGUUCUGCCGGUCUACUCCCUUCGGUCGGGUCAACAUCGGUUUUGACCGGCGGAUAAGGAAGGGAGGAAUGUGGCACCCUCCGGGGUGUGUUAUAGCCUCCCGUCGCAUACGUCGGUCGAGACCGAGGAACGCAGCUCGCCUUUAUGGCCGGGGUUCGCCCACGUCCGAGCUUAGGAUGUUGACAUAAUGGCUUUAAACGAC